RNAcentral lists this transfer RNA (82 nucleotides) under Litoribacter ruber. RNAcentral describes it as "tRNA-Leu". It matches the Rfam family "tRNA". Rfam says of the family: Transfer RNA (tRNA) molecules are approximately 80 nucleotides in length. Their secondary structure includes four short double-helical elements and three loops (D, anti-codon, and T loops). RNAcentral also lists the same sequence under 8 other names. The record is from RNAcentral. Lineage: Bacteria; Pseudomonadati; Bacteroidota; Cytophagia; Cytophagales; Cyclobacteriaceae.
GCGGAUGUGGCGAAAUUGGUAGACGCACUAGACUUAGGAUCUAGCGCCGCGAGGCAUGGGGGUUCGAGUCCCUUCAUCCGCA